UACAGAGGGUGCAAGCGUUAAUCGGAAUUACUGGGCGUAAAGCGUGCGUAGACGGUUAUGUAAGUCAGAUGUGAAAGCCCCGGGCUCAACCUGGGAAUUGCAUUUGAGACUGUGUAGCUAGGGUGCGGAAGAGGGAAGCGGAAUUUCCGGUGUAGCGGUGAAAUGCGUAGAUAUCGGAAGGAACAUCUGUGGCGAAGGCGACACCCUGGACCAGCACUGACACUGAGGCACGAAAGCGUGGGGAGCAAACAGG
This 253-nucleotide ribosomal RNA is filed under the name uncultured bacterium. RNAcentral describes it as "partial 16S ribosomal RNA". It matches the Rfam family "Bacterial small subunit ribosomal RNA", at positions 524 to 776 of the family's 1533-position model. The record is from RNAcentral.